RNAcentral lists this ribosomal RNA (250 nucleotides) under uncultured bacterium. RNAcentral describes it as "partial 16S ribosomal RNA". It matches the Rfam family "Bacterial small subunit ribosomal RNA", at positions 524 to 773 of the family's 1533-position model. The record is from RNAcentral.
GACGAACCGUGCGAACGUUGUUCGGAAUCACUGGGCUUAAAGGGCGCGUAGGCGGCUGUGCAAGUCGGGGGUGAAAUCUUUCGGCUCAACCGGAAAAGUGCCUUCGAUACUGCGCAGCUCGAGGGAGGUAGGGGCAGACGGAACUUCCGGUGGAGCGGUGAAAUGCGUUGAUAUCGGAAGGAACGCCGGUGGCGAAAGCGGUCUGCUGGCCCUCUUCUGACGCUGAGGCGCGAAAGCCAGGGGAGCAAAC